This is a long non-coding RNA of Oncorhynchus tshawytscha (Chinook salmon), 535 nucleotides long. RefSeq lists it as uncharacterized. The transcript is spliced from 3 exons. The record is from RefSeq and is a predicted model, not a curated record. Lineage: Eukaryota; Metazoa; Chordata; Actinopteri; Salmoniformes; Salmonidae.
GAUGGACAGAUUGAGGAGCAGUGUGACAGAUUAGAUGGACAGAUUGAGGUGCAGUGUGGACAGAUUGAGGAGCAGUGUGGACAGAUUGAGGUGCAGUGUGGACAGAUUUAGAUGGACAGAUUGAGGAGCAGUAUGGACAGAUUGAGGAGCAGUGUAGACAGAUGUAGAUGGACAGAUUGAGGUGCAGUGUGGACAGAUUGAGGUGCAGUGUGGACAGAUUUAGAUGGACAGAUUGAGGAGCAGUGUGGACAGAUUGAGGAGCAGUGUGGACAGAUUUAGAUGGACAGAUUGAGGAGCAGUGUAGACAGAUGUAGAUGGACAGAUUGAGGUGCAGUGUGGACAGAUUUAGAUGGACAGAUUGAGGAGCAGUGUGGACAGAUUUAGAUGGACAGAUUGAGGAGCAGUGUAGACAGAUGUAGAUGGACAGAUUGGGGUGCAGUGUGGACAGAUUGAGGUGCAGUGUGGACAGAUUUAGAUGGACAGAUUGAGGAGCAGUGUGGACAGAUUGAGGAGCAGUGUGGACAGAUUUAGAUGG